RNAcentral lists this ribosomal RNA (498 nucleotides) under uncultured bacterium. Its description in RNAcentral is "partial 16S ribosomal RNA". It matches the Rfam family "Bacterial small subunit ribosomal RNA", at positions 30 to 523 of the family's 1533-position model. The record is from RNAcentral.
AUUGAACGCUGGCGGCAUGCCUUACACAUGCAAGUCGAACGGUAACAGGUCUUCGGAUGCUGACGAGUGGCGAACGGGUGAGUAAUACAUCGGAACGUGCCUAGUAGUGGGGGAUAACUACUCGAAAGAGUGGCUAAUACCGCAUGAGAUCUACGGAUGAAAGCAGGGGAUCGCAAGACCUUGUGCUACUAGAGCGGCCGAUGGCAGAUUAGGUAGUUGGUGGGAUAAAAGCUUACCAAGCCGACGAUCUGUAGCUGGUCUGAGAGGACGAUCAACCACACUGGGACUGAGACACGGCCCAGACUCCUACGGGAGGCAGCAGUGGGGAAUUUUGGACAAUGGGCGCAAGCCUGAUCCAGCAAUGCCGCGUGCAGGAUGAAGGCCUUCGGGUUGUAAACUGCUUUUGUACGGAACGAAAAGCCCUGGGUUAAUACCCUGGGGUCAUGACGGUACCGUAAGAAUAAGCACCGGCUAACUACGUGCCAGCAGCCGCAGUAA